GUGAGGAAUUUUCCGCAAUGGGCGAAAGCCUGACGGAGCAAUGCCGCGUGAAGGAUGAAGGCCUAUGGGUUGUAAACUUCUUUUCUCAGAAAAGAAUUAUGACGGUAUCUGAGGAAUAAGCAUCGGCUAACUCUGUGCCAGCAGCCGCGGUAAGACAGAGGAUGCAAGCGUUAUCCGGAAUGAUUGGGCGUAAAGCGUCUGUAGGUUGUUUAAAAAGUAUUCUGUCAAAGAUUAGGGCUUAACCCUAGAUAGGCAGAAUAAACUUUUAAGCUAGAGUGUGGGAGAGGCAGAGGGAAUUCCCGGUGGAGCGGUGAAAUGCGUAGAUAUCGGGAGGAACACCAAAGGCGAAGGCACUCUGCUGGGCCAAUACUAACACUGAGAGACGAAAGCGAGGGGAGCAAAUGGGAUUAGAAACCCCGGUAGUCC
Molecule: ribosomal RNA, 426 nt
Filed under: uncultured bacterium
Lineage: Bacteria
Description: partial 16S ribosomal RNA
Rfam family: Bacterial small subunit ribosomal RNA
Source: RNAcentral